CUGGUCCUGGCCCUGGCCCUGGUCCCUGGCUACAGGGCCUAGCCACUAAAGCCUGUCCACUAGAACCUGGCC
Molecule: microRNA precursor, 72 nt
Filed under: Mesocricetus auratus (golden hamster)
Lineage: Eukaryota; Metazoa; Chordata; Mammalia; Rodentia; Cricetidae
Description: miRNA (ENSMAUG00000005578.1)
Source: RNAcentral